Molecule: long non-coding RNA, 1061 nt
Organism: Raphanus sativus (radish)
Lineage: Eukaryota; Viridiplantae; Streptophyta; Magnoliopsida; Brassicales; Brassicaceae
Exons: 4
Source: RefSeq, a predicted model, not a curated record
UUCAGACUCUUCUCUUUCGUUUUCACAAUUUUGUCGAUCCAAGAUUCUGCAGUUCUCCCUUAUCAACCCACUAUAAAACAUUCAUUUAUGUUUUUUUACUCUUUCUUCAUGAUUCCAUUUCACCUUCUUUGUUUCUCCUCAUAUAUAAAUCUAUUCAUCUAAUGUUACAUUCAAGAAAAUCUACAACCUCCACAAAAGAAGAUAAAUCUUUGGCCAUGAGCUCUUUUAAAUCCACCCGGAGAUCUUCUUUUACACUAUAUAUAAGAUUUUUAUUGGAUAUAGAAGAAGCUGAUAGGUUUUGAAUCGUUCACAAGUUCGAUUUCUGUCCGUUGGUAGUUAUAGAACAAGUGGGGCUGUUGAAGUUCUUGAUGUGGUGAUAUGAGGCUCCUCCUCCAACACUUCUCCUUCCCACCAUUUCCAUCCCCUACCAAGCGCAAUAUCUAGAAGUGUAAAGGUAGAAGAGGAGUCUUUGAUGAUGUAAUGGAAGUUCUGCAUCAGCAUUGGAAGCACAAGAAGGUUGCAUUUUUUUAAAGACUUCGAAGCAAACUGUGAUUUAAGGAGGAAUCUCUACGAACUACAAACGUCCUUCAUCAAAACUGAUGGCACAUAAUCUUUUGAGGAAAAGAACAGUGUACAAAGUCACUGAAGUUCUUUGCUUACCAGAGAAAGCGCCAUUGAAGAUAUGAAGGAGUUUGGUAGAUCUUCAAGACUAUGCUUUUGAGUAAUGUUGAUGCAAGUUGGAGCUGUAACAAAAUUAGGUUCGCCUAGAUCACAUUAUUUUUCAUUUACUAUGGUAUUAUAAGAAUUACAAAAAUGAGAAGUUUGGCAAGUAUCGUGGAUCGCCUAGAUCUAUACCUUGAAGUGUGACUGGAGCAGAAACAGUAGUUGCAACAUCAACGACGAGAAUGACGAGGGAGUCUAGCAUAAAUUUAUCCAAACUAUUUUUAUAUUCUCUGUUUUUGCAUAUUUUUUAUAUAUUAAAUGACUUGUGAAGUUUGAGGCACUCUCCUUCCAAGCAUGUGUUGUGUUUUCGUAAAGUUGGGUUUUAAAUUUUUAAUACG